RNAcentral lists this long non-coding RNA (15851 nucleotides) under Coffea arabica (coffee). Its description in RNAcentral is "long non-coding RNA (CARA_LNC000366)". The record is from RNAcentral. Lineage: Eukaryota; Viridiplantae; Streptophyta; Magnoliopsida; Gentianales; Rubiaceae.
UUUUUUUUUUUUUUUUUUUGGGUUGUAGAUUACAAACAAUGGACGCAAGUCUCCCACAAUGACAAGUGGUAAAACACCUAAGACAUUAGCAAAAGUAAGGGAACGGUUUUUUUGUUUGGUUUGGUUUUUGUUUCUUGGUGAAAGAUAAGCACGGACUUAAUUGCGGCAAUGCCCAAGCCACGUUGCCCAGAAAAAGAGAAAAGGCAAUGCAAGCACUCUCCGGAUGUAAUUUGGUCAGCCGCGGACGUGCGCAGUCAGCACGUCCGCGUCUGACACAUGCUCAGUUUGAAGUCAGCCGCGGACGUGCCCAAUCAACACGUCUGCGCUGACACCUGUUGCUCCCUGAAUUUUUUGCAGACAAGUUUUUGUUGGAAUUUUUAAUUAUGCGGACGUGUCCAGUCAGCACGACCGCUAUAGAAUGAGAAACACUCCCUGUCAGAGGUAUAUUUGGCAGAUUGGUUUUUUUUUAACAUAUAAUCUAAGAAAUUAGCCGAGGGGGGACAUGAGCUAUUCUUCUUCUUCAAACAGAGUCGAAGACUACCUAUAGAUUAUGAUCUUGAAUUCCCUGUUCCUAAAUUUGCAACAUAUUCUGAUUGAAAAUAUGCAAAUUAGAAUGUGUUUGAAAUUCUAUUUGUACUAGGGUAUGGACAAUCCAAAAAUUGACACAUUUUUUCAUUUAAAUCUAGGAAAUGUUAAUUACACUCUACUUUUUGUUAAUCGCGCUCUUAUCAGUUGUACUGCCAUAUAUUCUAAUAUAUGAAAAUUAUAUGAUAAAAAUAAUAGUGCGAGUGCGAUUAACAACCAAAGGGAGGGCAGGCGCGGUGAAAUUAACAUUUCCCUUUAAAUCUUGAAUAAUUUCACCAGCUAAUGUGAUUUCCGAUAGGAUGUUGCAAUUGCAUUACACUUUGGCGUGCACGGUGGUGCGCUAACUUUCUGACUGACUAUUGUUUGCCCCUGAUUUAACAAGUGUUUGUAAUCUCCUCGUUUUGCAAUCAAUUUUCAGGAUGACAGAGACGUUGAAGAUUCUGGAAUUGACAGCUGAAUUGCACGAGAGAAAGGAAAAGAUCCCGCAGCUAUUCAACAACAGCUAGAUACGGUUUUGAAGGACAUGGAAGAGUAUUCAGAACAUCUUUCUGUCCAGAAACAUCGAUGAGGGUCAACUUGCCCCCAGCAGAUGACCAUCAUAUACGUAUUUCCUUUAUCUCGAUGCCUCUCCCCUCUCUUUUAAUUUGCAACAAUUUCCUUAGCGUGGUUGAUUUUUCAAAGUUUUGGGAUCCUUAAUUAGGGGUGGGCACGGGUCGGGUACCCGUCCCUAACAUGAUUUGGUUGACCCGACCCUAAUAUAUCGGAUCAGCCAUCCCUAAAAAAAAUUAUUUUCAAUAAAAAAAAUUAUUUUCUACUUAAUAUCAACAUGUUUUUCAAUAAAAAAACAUGCUUUUCCAAUUAAUAUUGGUAGAGAUAUUGUAAUUAAAGUCCAUACAUCACCAUUUUUACACAUUUCAUCCAAUAAUCAAAUCGAUCUCAUAAAUUUAGUACAUAUUAGAAUAUCUAAUGGACAAAACGAAGUUUCAUAAUAAUUUUGAGUACAUCACUAUUUUCACACAUUUCAUACUUCUACAACACAAUAAACACAAGGAUAAUAAGUAUUUGGUAACUUCCCCAAGGAUAUUAUGGUACAAGACCGCAUCUCAAAUAAGUCAAUUGUGAAAUCAAGUUCGGAAAAGAAUUGAAUAGAACUAAUUAUUUUUGAAAAAAAUAUAACCAAAAUAAUGUUAAAAAUCUUCCCCAACUUCUUUACAUCUUUGGAAUAGACCUUAUGGUAUUAAGGUGAUGAAAAAGAAAAAUAAAUUUCUUACACUAAAUAAAAGAGACAAAUUUAAGAGAUAUAAUUGCAAAUGAAUGACACAAAUAUUUUAAUUAUCUAGCUAACAGAAAUUUGAGACUCCAAACAAAAAUCUUUGAUUGAAUUGAUGCAAGAUUUGCAGGAAAGAUCGAUGGAAGUAGAAUAAAAAUAAAAAAGAUGAAAGGGAUGAACAAUUUUUAUAACAGAGUUUCACAAUUUUUUUUUUCAUUUUGUUCAUGCUUCACCGAGAAUAUUCACUUUCUUCAAAAAAAUGAGAAGAGUAGAUCAUAUAGGAUUAGAAUAUGAGGCUGCGAGCCACUUCACUUGCACUUAGGAUUAAAAAUUACAAAAUUAUAAAAUGAUCCCUACUUUUUUAAUAUUUAUAAAAUAUACCCUGCGGGUCGGGUACCCGCGGGUUUUUAUUUUUCUGAUCCGUAUCCGUACCCGAUUUUUCGGGUACCCGACUCUCAUCUGCCCCGCUAAGAAACAUCGGAUCGGGUAUCCUAUUUUUCGGAUCGUAUCGGAUCGGGUUCAUCGGGUUUUCGGAUCGACGAAUUUUUUUGCCCACCCCUACCCUUUAUCAAGUUGUAGGUUGAUAAAACCGCCAGUUAACCAUCUGAAAUGUUUGUAAUGACAAUCUUAGCAAUAGUUGCUGAUUUGGAACGUGGAUCACUUUCUUCAUGGUGUGUUUAACAGUAACUGCAGUGCGAAUUUGGGUACGGAGAGUUGAGACACCGCCUAGUAGAGGGAAUGAGGAAUGGAUUGGGUGGUAUCGAAUCGGGGCGUAAAUCUCUCAUUUACACUCUCUUUUGAUACCAAAUUCGAGAUCCUCCCGUUUACUUGAAAAAAAAAUGCAAAAGAUUUCAUACCAAAUAUAGUAUACUAGCUCGUAGAUUUCAUUAUCAGUAGCUGACAAGUCAUUACUAAAUGCUAAGGAAUAAAGAUAGGGUUAAUUAAGAAUAAUUUAUCCAUAAAAGUCUUCUAGAAAGCAAUUUUCAUUUAAAGCUCGGUUUAGAAUUGGUGGUUGGUAGGUGUAGGGUUAAUUAAGAAUAAUUUAUCCAUAAAAGUAUUCUAGAAAGCGAUUUUCAUUUAAAAGCUCGGUUUGGAAUUGGUGGUGGGUAGGUUUUAUUCUCGUUUUGCUUUUGAAUUUCACAAAAAGUUGAUUAUGAGAAGUGAUUAUGGAGAACAAUCAGAAUUAACAAAAGUCACUCUUUAAUAGAUUUUGAAUUUUAGCUUUUUGAUUAUUAAAAAAUCUAUAAUUUAAAGACAAAAAAUAAAUAAGAAUAUCAAUAAAAAUUAAUUAUUCAAAAUUAGAAUCAAUUAAAAUAAUAACCAGACCUAUAAUUAUUCGGAGGAUCAAUAAGUUACACGCAUCACCAUCUAUCAGUAUCAAAAACUAAUCAAUAAAGAAAGAGACGUUCUACUUGAAAAAAUUUGUCCAUAAUUUUUAGAACUGCCCGUCUCUCCUACGAGUAAUUGGUAACAUUUUUACCAAUAAUUGGUCGUUGGAUUAGUCAAUGACCAGUAAAAAAAAAAAAAAAAAAGGAAAAGCAAAAAGAAGAUAACAAGAGAUGUCAAGUGCUACACUGAUAUUAUUCAUUUUCCAAAAUCAGUAGUGGCGCUUUUGUCUUGUUCUUGACAUUUUCGGUGCACGUUUGAAUGUAAAGAUCCUUAAAGCGCACAUGGAUGGGCGGGAUCUGCAUGUCAUUGGCUGGAUCACCUAUUCUGACUCCUAAACUUUUACUAGUCACCACUGCUACGUACUAGUGACACUGUAGACUGUGGACCAUUUGUAACUCCUACCCAAUUUCGAUAGGACUAGGAGGUAUAAUCCGCGCGGUGCGCGGAGGUAUAGAAAAAGAGAAGAUGCCCAAGACAAACAUAUGAUAUGGAAGGAAAAUAUCGGAGGAGGAUAUAAAGCAAAAGGCAGAAAAAAGGAUGAAAGGCGUAUUAACUUGCUAAAUUGAUCAUUUUCUACAUCGGAAAUAUCAAGGCAUGAUAAGCCAAAUCUAUAAUAAUAAAGCAUCGAAUUUGCCACUACUCAUAUUAGACUUUGUUAGAGCUACUAAUGACCGACAAAGUUGCAGCAAAUCACUAACAUCUCACGGCAGCCUUUAAUUCAUAAAGAAGGAGCUAUAAAUAUUUGAUACAAGGUAGUCUCCUUACUCCUUUGUAGAUGGGCCUCUAUAUCUUUUUACUGGACGGUGCAAUGAUGUACUUUCCUCUUAUUUUCUGUUGAUUCUUGUCCACACAUUUUUUUGGUAUUUCCAUGCAGAUGAAGCCAAAAACACAUUACCAAGGAAUAUUUAGACAAAAAGUUUGGCUCCUUUGGUGUUUGCAAAUCAUAUUCAUCCCAAAGGAACUGCAAUGACUAAUUAUUAGUUAAAAAGAUAGAGAGGACAUCAAAGUAACCAAAGAAACUUUUCAAACAUUCACUACUAAAGCUUGAUGAGUGCAGCAAGUAGGUUAACAUCAAUUUUGUGGCUAAACACCCAUUAGCAAAGCCUGAAUUGCUAAACAAAUGCAAUAACUUGUUGAACAUUAAACUUCUAGUGCUUUGAAUGGAGAAAAACGAGUAAAAGCAAACCAAGUUGUUUUGUCUUGUUUCAUUUCUUGGUUUAAUGAAGUGCAGAAUAAAAAAAGUAAAUGAACAAAAAAACACAGUACAAAAUCUGCUAUGUGGAGCAACAUGAGACCCAUAUUACAAGACUUGUCAAUUUCACAAAGUUGAAACCUCUUGAAUUCAACGGGAACAUAGACAAAGAUAACAAGAAACCCUUUCAUUCAAAGGAAUCUAGGCUCUAAAUUCUUCAAUUUAUCCAUGUCUUCUCUAAAACCUGACGCAGCAUGCUCUUGCAAAUACACAUAAUGCUUAAAACUAUCAUUUUUCCCUUCAUUUGCCGAAGAAUAGGGCAAAAGAAACAGGGCUCAACACUUCCAAGCAGUUUUUUUAACAAAGGAAAAACUGUAAUGCAACCUCCCCAGCCAAAGUCAACUAUGGACAGUUCAUUUAUAUGGCUAUAGUUCAUUUAUUGCAAAAAACAGCCAAGAAUUUGGCAGUUACAAAUAAUCAUCCACAAAACAAAUUGUCAUAGAACGGAAAAGCAUCAUGUUCCAUAAAUAAUUAGAUACAUAUACAAAACGUAAGCCAUGUACAAACUGAAAUGGCAAUUGAGCCAUAUCAAUUAGCAACCUAGCUACUACAAAAGUUUCUGCAGUUAAGUUCUUUAACAAUGAUAGAUACAUAUUAGACAUUAACUAAAAACGUCUAAUAAAAUUGUUAUCUAGAAAAAGGCUAAAAAAAAAAUAAAAGAUUACAAUAAUCAAUUUAACAUUGAGCUGCAUUCCUAAUCAGAAAACAUGAAUGUGUCACACAGGCAGGACAACAGAUUCUUUCCUCUUAGCCGCCCAGCGACACGAUCACUCAAUUCAACGUUCUGUAGCAAAACUCAAAAGCAUAGUCAUAAACUGCAUAAGUAUGAACAAACAAUACAUUGCUAGUCUGCACACACUACUUAUUCACAGUCAAAAUCCAAACCCUUAGCUGUCUUACAAUAAUCAAUUUAACAGUAAGCCGCAUCCCUAAUCAAACCAGAUGAAUGCCUAACACAAGAUCACUUAGUCUAACAUUUUACAGCGAUAAAAACAGAGACAUAAACAUAACUACAUAAGUAUAAAUAAUCAAACAAAAUACAAAAUACAAAAACAAUCCUAAUAUACCUCAUGUUUAACUUCAUAAACAUGAAAACCAGCCAAGCUAAUCAAUCGCCCGGCUUAGCUGCAAAAAGCCAGAACAUUCACAAAGCCUAAAUCAGGAAAAAUCUCUUUUAGAGAAGAAAAUAACUGUUAGUCUGCCUAAAAAGGAUUAGUCCCACAAUACAAACCAUAAAAACCAUUAACUCAUUUCAUUUUUUCGUAAUCCAAAUUCUAUUCCUUCAAUAAAAGAAGAGAUACACACAGAAUUUGAGGUUUACACAAAAUCAACAGACAACAAGCACAAAAUUUCCUUCACACAUCACAAUCUCAAACACCAAAAGCAACUCAAAGCAAUGACAAAAUUUAACCGAUUACAAUAGUCACAAGUACAAAAUUUCUGAUGGAAUCCACUCAUUAACUGCAAAUGGCUGAUCCUUCAAGCCUCAGAACCACUAAGCACCAAAGCAAAACAUAACAAAAAAAAAAGAAAAAGACAGCCUCACAUGCACAGAAAUGAGAAGAGAUGAGGAAACCAAGCAAAAAAUGCAAAAUCACCCAAUUAAAGAAUCUCCCCGGGGAAAAAAUACAACCAACAAGUCUAGAUCAAAGCAACAAUUCAAAUAUUAAGCACAUAAUAAAAAUCCCCUCUGAGCAUAACUCAUUCCUGGAAAAAUGUCAAGACAAUUAAUCAACAUACAAUUUUUGGUACAGAAGGCUCGAAAAUUUCACAAAUCUUGAGGGAAAAUAUGUCCACCAUGGGAGAAUACCAAGAAAAUUAAUGGUGACUAAGUUUUACCUUUUAACUUUAGCUGCCAGAUUUUCGCUAAAGCUAAACACUCAAUGGAAUUGCUAUCAAAUAUACUGAAAUUCUUAACAAAAUAGCAGUUUGAUGUCUAAACUCCCUUUUUCAGGUUUUAAUCUAACUAAUGAAGUUAGUGAAGUUGCUCAAAUCAUAUGCCAAAAUCAUGAAUAUCCACAAACUUAGUAUCCAAACAUUUCUUGAUUAAAACAACUAACCAGUAAACCACAAAUCCAUUGUCAAAGGCUGAAAAAUUAGGAACAAGCUCUCUUAUUUAUUACAAUAGAAACCAUGGCAUAAAGCAAUACAAAAGAUAUUUUUUAGCAUAAAGCACCGAAAAAGGAUCCGUGGUUAAGUUUGUCAAUAGAAACCAAACUUUUUUAUUUUAUUUUGUCAUUCUCCUACAGACAACUUGUUAAGUUUAUUCAGGCCUUUAGUUUCAUUAAGGCCCAUAAAAAUUACACAUAAUACAUUGACAGGUAACCAUAUCACCAUACACGUAGACCAGAUAGUAUUAACCACAAAUCCUAACUUCAUGGUAUCUAAGAUUUGACAGUACCCUUUUUCAUUUUGGGGCAGGAAGAUGAUAGAUGAUAGAUGAAAGGUUGUGUCUUACUGUACCCUUAUGUUUAGAGUCCAUCAAUUCUUAGUGUAAUACGUAAUAAGAAAACGUAGUACGAAGAAUGAAGAAUGCAGUACGAAGGUAAAGGAACUGACCACAUGAGACAUGGAGUAAUUGGUUAGAUGGCAUGUUUGAACAUGGACCGCUAAAAGCUUUCUCGCAUCCAAAAUCUUGUUCGUCGAUAUUCCCUGCAGUAAAAUGUCCUCCAAUUGGUGCACUUUGGUGGUGUUAACAGAAUUGGCAGAAGGCUAGAACAUGAACUUACCUGUAAGUGUCACUUGUGAAUCCUCAGGUAUAUCUACUAUUAUUUCUAUACCUGUAGGCAUUACUGCAAGAACGGCCAAAACAGUUGUAAUUAAUCAAGACUGAACUAACUAAUUGGAAGACCAAAAAAGUGCAAAAAACUGAGGCUUGUUUAACACACACACACAUCUAAAGUGCUUUCGACCAACAACAUGACAAUAGGUAAUAGUGCCACAAAGCAGGAGUAAAAGGGAACUAAACUCGGUGUAUAAUCAGUGCAAUUGAGAAGUUUUGGCUCAAAAAAUGUUUUGUACUUGAUGCAAUUGUUAUGAUAAUAUGAAUACUAUUCUGUCAUCAUGGUGUUUGGACUAAAACAUGGAAAAGUGACCUUUUACAAUGCUAAGAACCAAACAACACAAGAAAAUCUCAGAAUAGGAACUUGAACUGCUCUUGAUUCGUGAUGCAGCAAUAGAAAAAUGAAACAGAAUUAUUCCCGAUGCCACAGAAAAGCUUACCCACAACAUCUUCUCAAUUGAAGGUGAGCAGAGAAAAUGACAAGCUCUUGCUUUCUCCUCAUUUAUACAUUGCUCAACCUAACGCACAGCUCAGCACCCAGAAAAGAAAACAAAAUAAAAGGAAGUCAAUAAAGAAUGACAAAUAUAGCAAAACUGAAAGACAGAGACAAAUAGAAUUUGCAAGAAAAACAAGAACAAAAAAAUUACCUGACGGAAGAAACUCCUAUCAGACCUCGCACGUAAAAGGAUCUGCAGAAAAGAGGAGCUUGUUAAAAAAAAAUAAAAAAAAAUAAAAAGAAGAGGGAAAUGGAGGAAAUAUUGAAAUACCAAUCUAAAGCAUAUAUCUUCAAGUGCUAGUACCCAACAUCCAAUUCUUGCAUCAAUAAAGUGGAAAUCUUUGAAACCCCACCUCACGGGCUCAUCCAAGCUACAGAAAUAAAAAAUCUAAAAAUUAAAAAGAAUAACAUAAUCCUCAUAAACAACAAAAUAGUAGUAGCAAUCAGAAAAGGGAAAAAAGCAACAAAAAAAAAAGAUCCGACAAGAACAGAUAGUGUACUCGUUGUCUAUUUUCAAAAAAAAAAUGCAAGAUCUGACAAGAAGAGACGGUAAGAUCUGACGAGAACAAGAAUGCACGAAAAAAAAUGUGGAAGAAAAUGAUGAUUAAAGGAACAGAGAGAGAGAAACGAGGACGGUGGAAAGAUCUGGAGAAGAGACGGCGGAAGAAAGAAGCGGCCGAGAGAUUCUUGUGUUUUAUGCGGCAAACCCUAAGCCGAGAAAGAAAAUGGACACACGAAGCGCAUCGCGCGAAAAAGAUGGGAUGAUCCACGUGCGCGGCACGUGUGAGGACGACGAAAACCAUUCCAGGUCAUCAGAGGCCUUCGGCUCUUUAUCUACUUAUGUUGAGAAGAAAAUGAAAGAAAAUAAUAGAGGCUUCCUUCAUUGGAGAGUUUGAGGGGGAGAGAAAACUGAAAAGGAAAGAAAUAGGCAAAUCUUUAAACUAACCUCCAACAACCCCUUUUUUCUUAUUUCUUAAUAAAAUUCCCAACUAGGCCUUAGAACUAAAAGUAGAAAAAAAAAACGAAAGAAAAAUAGAUUGGCAAAUGCGUCAAUUGUUCAACUAGUAUUAGUGUCUGUUUGAUAACAUAAAAAAGUGUUGAAAUUGAAUUCAUUCAGACAUUCAGAUGUCUUGGGUGUUUGAUAAAUAAAAAUUUUUCUGCUGAACUUAUUAAGUGGUGCUAAAUUUGUAUGUAUUUUUUUCAACACAAGAAUCGCAACUGAAUGCUUAAUUUGAUAAGAAUCAAAAGAUUUAUUUCAAUUACUUUAUCUUAUCUACCAAAUCUAUCCUUGUUUGUUAAUUACAUUCAAAAUCAUUAUCUAAUUAAACAAUCUAAUAUUUUCCAUCCAAAAUCCUUAUCUAUUAAACAACCUGACAUUCUUUGUCUAAUGGCUUUCUACUUCUAUUUUCUCCAUAUUUAAUGACUUUUUUUACAAUUUCUCCAUGCUACUCACAUCUGUCUAUUCCUUAUUUUUUUCCAUCUUUCUACUCUUUCAUAAUUUUGUCAUUUUUUCCUUCCAAUUUUUUUUAUUGCUACCGUACUCACCGAUCUCAAAUUCAUUAUUUCCAAGGUAGCGUUAACAUUUUUCCAUUGAAGUAAUUAAAUUUCUAUAUAAUUUGGUGUGAAUUUAAAACUUGUUUAUUGCAGCUUCCUUUUGCUUAUAUUUGGACUUUUCUUGUCAAAUUCUGAUUUAAAAAUAUAUUUGCACCGAUAUUUGGACUUUUCCAUAAUAUAUUUUUUCUUUUAUAUUACUUUGAUUUAAAAAUAAAUAUUGUCAUUUUCAUACCUAACAAUUUUAAGCUAAUUAAAACAUAGGUUCUAUUUCCUUUUUGGAUUAAAAGAUAGAAGGACAAAAUUGUACAAUUUAGCUUAUUAAGCAUUAAGUUAUAAAUAUUUAUCAAAUAGUAUAAAUAUGUUCAGCAUUAAGAUUCAGAUAUUCAUAUAUCUCUUUUCAGUGCUUAAUAUUUAGCAAAUUAAUUGUUUCAGUAUUCAGAAUUCAGAUUCAGUUUUAUCAAAUGGAGCCUUAGUCUAUUAGAUUAAACCUUUAUCCAUUCUAUUCCGCCACGAAUCUCCCUAACCACAUCAGAGAAAAAGUAUAGGCUUCGUUUGAAUUUUUCAUUUUUUUAAAAAACAAGUUUUUUAUUUACAAUAAUACAGUUAUAUACAAAAAAAAAUUAUUCGAAAAAUAUCACAUUCAUACAAUAUAUUAAAAGUAAUUCUAAAUAUAUAAAAAAAUUAAAAAAUUAAAAUUUACACUAUUUUCUUCUUCCCAUCUAUCACCACCAUCGACUAUCACUACUAUCACCAUCCUCUCUUUCCUCCUCCUCCCUUUCUAUUCUCGCCCCCUCUUUCUCCUUCCUCUCUUUCCUCUUCCCCUACCUUUUCUCUCCCUUUCCCAUCACAUCCACUAUUUUCCUUCCCAAUCUAGCUACGACCAGGUUGCAACCAGAUGCCUCGAUUUGGUCCAAACUAAAUUAAGGAAGGGGAGGAGAUGUGCAGGAAAGGGGAAGGGGAGGACGAAGGAGGAGGGAGAAAAAGAAAGAUAGGGAAGAAGAAGAGGGAGGUGGUGGUGGUUACGAUGGGUGGGUGGUAGUAUUAAACUUUUUUUAAAAUAUUCUAAAAGUUUUUGAACUUUAAAAAUAUUUCAAAUUACAUCUCAAAAACACCUUAAAAAUCAUCACUAAAAACAUUCAAGAUAAAAGUUCUUUAUAUAUAUUGUUAUAAUAAAAUAUUUCAAAACAUUCUAAAAAACAACUAAUCCAAACUAUUUCCUCUUAACUCGGGGUUUUAUGACUUGCCCAUCUUUUUCUUGUCUUUCCCAACGCCCAAUCUAUGUGCCUAAGUGUGAAAGGAAGAAAAAGAUCUUACAAGCAACAGCCUGUUGCUGGCUGUUAUCAAUUAAUAAUAAUUAUCCACAGUAGCGGAAUCAAAUACUAACUCUACUAAUCGGGGCGAGAGGAAGAUGGACUAAAUGACACGAAGGAGGGAGUAUAAUUAAGAGUUUUUGGAUUGAAUAUCUCCCACUUACACUGAAAAGGAAAGGCCGUGAUACGGUGAAAGAAGCUGUAGAUCUCUCGCUGGAAAAAUGAAAAAAACAUAAAGUUUGAUCCAUUCUUAAAAGCGUGAAAUAUUUUUAGGCUUCCAGCACAAACGCUCCUCUUCUUCUCGUCACUGACCUGUCAACCCUUUCUAUUAAAUCUCCAUAUCUCAACCCAAUUUCUACUAGACCUGUUAAAACUCAACCCAACCCUCGAUAUUGCCGUUGCCGAGGCCGACGGUAUUCUUUUCUCCCUUUCUUUCUUGCAUGUAUUUAUUGUUAAGACUAUGUGCACAUAUUUAGAUGACUGGCGAAGGAACUUCUUGUUUCGCUCAGCUACUGACACUAACUGGUAUUAGUCUACUGUUGUGACAAUUGCAGAUUAUUUCUGAAAGCAUUUGUUGAUUUGGGAAAGUAAAACAGAAGAUGGCAAAUGUGGGAGAAGUUGAACACCCAUAUGUUCCAAGGGAUUUGAAGUUGCCUGGUUUUGUACCUGCGUUCCUCCCCCCUUCCACUAUUGUUGGUGCUUAUCUGCUUGCUUCCCUACUCGCUGUGUCCAUUGUCUGGAUCGGUUCUGGUAAUUGAUUGUUCUCUCACCAGUCGCCGUUGCUAUCUUUUUUAGUAGUAUCUCAUAUAUAGUUGUUCUACUUCUUCCAUUAGUUGAUUGUAUUCUUGUCUGCCUUGUAUUGCUUGUUAUAUUCGGGCAGUAAGGAAAAUCGGAAGUGAAGAUCAGUUAGCAACUUAUGAUAAUCCGAAUCUGAAGCAUCUAAACGAUUCAAAAUGAGUACUAAAUCCAUCUCCCCUUGUAUUGGGUUAUUCUGUUUUUGUUUUUUUCGUCUGCUUUGUCAAGCAUACUUGUUGACUGGUAAUUAAAAUUGCUGAAGUGACUUAAUUUGCUGAAAACAUGUGACAAGUUCUUUUCUAGAAGUCAAAGUUCAAAACUUUGAUAAGUUGAUGCAGUCUUUUACAUUCCUUCAUAUAUUUCUUGUUGCUGCAAGCCCACCAGUAGAAUUUAUGUGAGAUCUCUGUAGGUUAGGAUGUAGAAAUGUGGUCAUGUUGAUAAGAGGUUGCUUGCCUGGGUAGUCCAACAAUGAAAAGUCUUGCUUGUUCCAAUCUAAUGCAGUUAAUCUGUUUGCCACACAAUAUUUAUUUAUCUGAGAUCCUGAAUUAUAUCAUAAUUCAUAUGGUAAAUGAAUUGUUUUAAUCUCUUCGUGGGAGCCUUAAGGUGAAUCAAUGUAAAUUCACUCUCAACAAUGUCUUAUAUAUGUUAAUUGUGAGCAGGGACACAUUGACAUAAGUUCACCUACAGCAACAGUAUGUGCUCCCUUGCAAAGACUUUUUGGGGUUUGCAUAGCUCCCAACUAUCCUUGAAUGUAUUGGACUUCGCCUGAGUGGUCCAUAAUGUGACUUAGUAAAUGAAUUACUUGAAAUUCAUUUGAGAUUGGAAUUCUGAGAUUGAAACCAUCAUUGAAUGUAUGGGGUUUGCCUGAUUUGUCUAUAGUAUAACUCAAUUAUGAAUGAUUAAGAACUCACUUGAGACUGGAGUUCUGAAACUAAGCAAAAUAAUCACUAAUCCCCUUGUUUUUCACUUGAUUCUUUACAGCACGACUUACAUCACAGGUCAUAAGCCGUUACCCAGAUCUUUGCCUUUAUUAUCUAUACCUGUAUUGAAUAAAUUGUGAUUGCUUGAUUGAUGUCUGGAUAAUAAUCAAAUACUCUCCUCAAAUCUGAUUUUUUAAAUUGUUAUGAUUUCAUUCAACAAGUAGUUGAACCAUUUAAUCAUCUUUGCCUAAUUGCAAUUUCCUAUACAAGUCAAAGGUUUAGUUAUUUAUGUACUGUGUUGACCAUAGAGUAGGAAAUUGUUGGAUCACAUCCAUAUUGGGCUUUCUUGUUUUAGGAUUCUGCUUAUAAGGAGGUUUUUACAUCUAACUCCUAGCUAUCCUUUGCCAACGUGGAAAUUCAUUGAUCAUUGCUUUAAUAUUUUACCAUCCUCAAUUAAUGGUAGGACGGAUCCACAAGAUAUCAAAGCUUGAUAGAAUACUCAUGUGCUGGUGGAUCUUCACGGGGCUAACCCACAUGGUCCUUGAAGGUUAUUUUGUAUUUACUCCAGACUUUUACAAGAAGACAACCCCAGUUUACCUUGCUGAAGUCUGUAAGUUUUUAGCUUAAUCUGUUAUUCAAAUCGGAAUCCUUUCUUUGAGAUUGUAAGAGAGUAAUUGCUUUAAAAUGGAAAAUGGCAGGGAAGGAGUAUAGCAAAGGUGAUUCAAGAUAUGCUGCGCGUGACUCUGGAGUUGUUUCUAUUGAAGGAGUUACCGCAGUAUUAGAGGGUCCCUUUUGUCUUCUCACCCUGUAUGUAUGCUUGGGUUCACUUAGUAUCAUCCAAGAGGAUACAAUCAUUAGUCUAUAUUUCUAAAUUUUUUUAUUUUGUGCUUACGAAAAUCUCAUCUUCACGAAUGCUCUAUAUUUUCCAGCAUAACAUUGUGGUUUAAUUUUGGCAGGUUUGCUAUAGCUGCAAAAAAGUCAUACAGGUAUGUGAUUCAGCUGGCCAUUUCUUUGGGGCAGCUGUAUGGCACCAUUGUAUAUUUCUUGACAUCCUACUUGGAUGGGGAUAAUUUUGCUGCAAGCUGGUUUUACUAUUAUGCAUACUACGUCCUUGCAAAUGCCUUUUGGGUUUUAAUCCCAACAGCAAUAUCGGUCCACUGUUGGAAGAGGAUAUGUGAAGCAAUCAAGGAUCAGGACCUGAAAAAGACCAAAACCAGCUAAGGUUGGAAUAACAAUUUUCAACUCAAAGCAUCUAGAUCUUGAACCAUCUUUAAUCGAUUCUAUUUGAGAUGGACAUUCAAUGACAUCUUCAUGAAGGAUAUUUGCAAAAAAUGACAGAAAAAAUUGAAUGAAGUUGACAGUAUCUGUAAUGCAUUCAGUUUAUGAAAGCCAUUUGAUGGGUUCAGUUAUCACUGGCUAAUUUGUUUCUUCGUUCUCUUGUUUCUUUCUGUAACUUAUGAGUGUCUUGGUUAAUGGGCCUCGUAAAAGUCUUGGCAUUGGUUUUGUCAUUGGUUAAAUAGGCAGAACUUCAUCAUCUGUGAUUUACGCUUGAUUUGGUAGGAAACUAUUUGUGGAAGCCGAAUAUUUUGCACUUAACCAACACUCUAGUCUGAGCAACUGUUCUCUGGGAUUCAUGUUUAGAAGGGUAUAGUACUGCAAGCCCUUCAGCUUUUUGUACUCGCUAUUAUUACCAUACGUACCAAUGAAGUACCUGAUCCAGAUAUCAUUCUUGUAUUGCCUUCCAGUUUUAUCCUUCUGGUAAUUAGGAGGAUAAAAAAUGGAUGAAUCAUAUUUAUACAUUGAGGUGAAUGCCCGACAAUUUAUUUAAAUUUAAAUUUAAAAUUCAAAAUUUACUUAUAUAUUAUACAUCUAAUCCUCUUAUAAUAUACAUUAUCAAUGUAUAUAAAAUUAAAUUAUAAAAAAUCGGUUUCUCACUCUCAAAGACGUGUACCAGAACAGCAGGAAAAAGGAAUAUCAUACUUAGUGUGAUAUUUGGAAUUUGAUUAAAAAUAAUCACAAAAAAAAAUGCCGAGUCUCUUGAAUUCUUCAUAGGUUCCAUGAAGCUAAACAGUAAAUUCACGCUACGCAGUGUGAUUUUACAGUUUGACGAACGACAUUUAUUUCAAUACUACCAAAAAAAAAAAAAGAGCAACAGACACUUAACUCAGUAAGUACUAAACAAGUUACACAUCUUCCUAAUCCAGAGCUCUUAUUUCUGAACAAAAAAACAAACGGACAGACAUAUCAGGAGCUGCUAUUGGUGAUGGCAUCAGCAUCAACUUUACUGUGCGUUCUGCUGUUGACAUAGGUGCAAGAAUUUGUGCAUUACACCAAAUGCAUAGCCUAUGCGAUGCUUACACGUACAUCUGCUAUGGCAAGAGUGUUUCACCAGCUUAAUCUGGAUGACAUGAAUGAUAGAAAUUAACUAGCUCCCAAAGCCUGAAGCCCAGAACCGUCUACUCAAUAGUUGGCUUCCAUCCUUGAAUCUCUUGGUAUAUAUUAGCAUCCACCUUCAUUGUCUUGUCCACUAGGCGUUGAGAAGAGGUACCAACUUUGAAAACCAUAAUCCAUCAACGUCUAGGCAGCUCAGUCUUGUGGUUGCACUCCUCUUGGUCGUCAAGGCUGCAUUGGUGAUGCUUGGCAAAUGAUACGAACACAAAUACAUCAAUAGUGAAGAAUGAAUUUACUCUGAAAUGCUUACCUAGUGGUUUCACUUUCUUUCCUUCCCUGCAACCAAUCACUUGGAGGAUUAUACAUAGUUUCCCCCACAUCCAUAACAAUAACAGAUCCUGCAAGGGCACGUAUACCAAAGGAGAAAAAGUGACAGUGAAAUAAGACUUAAUUUGCUGUUUCUGAUAUCUCCCUGUCAGUUCUACCGAUUCAGUUAAACCCACCAAAGGGCUAACAAACUCACCAAUUCACCGUUCUAAUCUGCAGAGACAUACUAGAGAGUAGUCACAAGGCAAUCUACUACACCACAAGAAGACAAUUUCCAUCCAUCACUUCAAGUCGCCCAUUUAAGAUGCCUUUCAGCCUUCAAAAGAUUUACACUCGGGCCAAAACGGAAAGCCCAAAGCAUGACAAGAAUAUCAAAAAAUCAUGCCAGAGUAUAAUAUUAGUUGUUGCAUGAUAUUUAGUAAAUUUGGGUUUGAAAAGAGUACUGCUCCAAGAAAAUACAAGAAUCAAUUGCCAACAAACAAGAAAAUACUAUUGAAGGAAAAAACUUUAACGUAAAUAUACAAGUCGCAACACCCCCAAUCCCUCAAAGAAAACAAGAAACAUGAAUGAAUUUAUAUGCUAACCAGAGGAGGAUUUGCAAAAGAUUACACAAUGCAGAAAUGUCAUUGCUCAAACAAGCGCUAUGACUGCAAAUAAAGCAGAAAACCAGAUACAAAAAUGCCCCCAAAUCCCCCUUAUUUUACGUAUGUAUUUAAGCGGGUUGUAUAAGAAGAGAGGAAGAAUGAAAUGGAAAAGUUUUCUUGGUUAGCAAUACUUGCU